RNAcentral lists this ribosomal RNA (256 nucleotides) under uncultured bacterium. RNAcentral's name for it is "partial 16S ribosomal RNA". It matches the Rfam family "Bacterial small subunit ribosomal RNA", at positions 87 to 358 of the family's 1533-position model. The record is from RNAcentral.
CGGGUCUAGUGGCGCACGGGUGCGUAACUGUGUGCGGAAUCUGCCCUUGGGUUCGGAAUAACUCAGAGAAAUUUGAGCUAAUACCGGAUGAUGACGAAAGUCCAAAGAUUUAUCGCCCAAGGAUGAGCCCGCGUAAGAUUAGCUUGUUGGUGGGGUAAUGGCCCACCAAGGCGACGAUCUUUAGCUGGUCUGAGAGGAUGAUCAGCCACACUGGGACUGAGACACGGCCCAGACUCCUACGGGAGGCAGCAGUGGG